UAUAUACUCCCUCCGUCCGGAAAUACUUGUCUUAAAAAUAGAUGUAUGUAGAGUUAUUUUAGUUAUAGAUACAUCCAUUUUAUUUAUUUCUAGGACAAGUAUUUUCGGACGGAUGGAGUAUAAA
Hordeum vulgare subsp. vulgare (domesticated barley) is the source of this 124-nucleotide non-coding RNA. Lineage: Eukaryota; Viridiplantae; Streptophyta; Magnoliopsida; Poales; Poaceae. The record is from Rfam.